RNAcentral lists this ribosomal RNA (253 nucleotides) under uncultured bacterium. RNAcentral describes it as "partial 16S ribosomal RNA". It matches the Rfam family "Bacterial small subunit ribosomal RNA", at positions 524 to 776 of the family's 1533-position model. The record is from RNAcentral.
UACGUAGGUGGCAAGCGUUGUCCGGAUUUACUGGGCGUAAAGGGCGCGUAGGCGGGAUGGCAAGUCGGUCGUGAAAUCCUUCGGCUCAACCGAAGAACGUCGAUCGAUACUGCUGUUCUUGAGGGUUGCAGAGGAGACUGGAAUUCCCGGUGUAGCGGUGAAAUGUGUAGAGAUCGGGAGGAACACCGGUGGCGAAGGCGGGUCUCUGGGCAAUUCCUGACGCUGAGGCGCGAAAGCGUGGGGAGCAAACGGG